Molecule: long non-coding RNA, 2395 nt
Organism: Dicentrarchus labrax (European seabass)
Lineage: Eukaryota; Metazoa; Chordata; Actinopteri; Moronidae
Source: Ensembl
AUGUGGAGGCUACUGCAAUCGUGCUGUCGCUGCUGGUGGAUUUUCUCUCUCGUUUUGCCAGCCUUCGUGCUCCUCUGGGCCGAGUGUCAUCCUGCAUCCAUUGGGACACUGCAGACAGGUUGGCAGUCCAUAACAGAGGGCCCAACAAACACGCUGACAGGAAGCCAAGCCGAGUCCCAAGCCCCUAUCCAAGGCCUUCGUGGAGCCACGGCCGACGGGACACGACACAGGAGAGCAGCCACUGAGGAGACCUACUGGGCCUACUCAGGUAAUGAGCUUUUUAUAUAUUUCUGUAUGACUGAAUGUGUUGACCUGAAUAGCAACGGCCAGUUGCUGGCUGUAUCUUACGGCUGACAGCGGAGCCAUCUCACUGUCAUUACUGUAAUCUAACUGGUUUCGCAGGUUGGCAAUAUUCUAUGUUUUUUUUUAACAAGUCCCAUGAAAAGACCUAAACCAACAAUAAAUCUACUAACAAGUAUUGAUUGUGUAUCCAAAGCCUGACAUAUUUUAUACCUCUCCCCUAUAGAGCUCCAUUGUUAUCAAAAAAAUAUUAAAAACCAUGGACACACAAAUACCGUAUCAAUUCCACACUUGCUGGAAAUGCUCACUACAGCACCAAAUCUGCAUUCAUCUGCUGCUGAAAAUACUCCCCAACAAAUGCACUCUUUCUUUCUGUUUGAGUAAUGUCUUUGAGACAUUUUUUAGGUACAUAAUGUGAUGGGUGGGAAAUGGGAUUUAUUGACAGUAAGAAAAUGUAGGAAAAUUGAAAUUUUAUUCUUUAAUUUGAGUUAAAUAUUCAUAAGCGUACAUAGCAGUUGCUAUUUAAUGGAAACAUUUGUCAUGAUAUUAAGGCAUAAGUAUUCAACCUUGAGAGUGUAAGGUUGAAAACUAGAUCAGCAGGGAACAUCUGGAUGGGGAGGGUUGAUGACAUUAUUGUCACAUUAUUUACUAGUACUGCACCAUUCUAUCAUUGAGUAAAGUGACUUAUUUUAUGGAUAUUUCAUUUUAUAUUCAAUGUAUAACAAUAACAGUAGAGCAAGACUAAACUUUCUAAUGGAGACACAUUUUCUAAGCUACCAUGAAACCUGAUAUGGUCUGCAAUUGUCCAGAAAUAUCAGCCAUGUAGAUGUGUAAAUAUGAAGCUAGCUUGCCAACCUGCAAAGGAAGAGCGGUUAUAGAUAAUGGAUGGGUUUAUGUCCAGUGCAAUCAGUCUUAGUAAAAAUCUUCACAGUUAGAGGCAUAAGCCAGAUUGUUUAGAUUUACACUGAAAGUACCACAUUUUUCAUAAACUGGAAAAUAUUAUUUUCUUUAUCUACAUUUACUUCCAGUGACAAUUGUUCUGAUACUGCUUUAUUUUGGAGGGUUUUGGGUGUGUCUCAUCUCUAAAACCACCAUGUUAGCGGGUUAAAAUGAGAAGUGAUUAGUCAAAAUAAAAUGAUCAAAAUGCAAUAUUUUGAUUGAAGACGUGUCACACAGUGUGAUGAACAAGUGUUCUGUUAAGCAGCAGUCUCCACUGAUAAACACAGUCUCUUUAUUGGACCUUGCACAGUAGUCUGUCAAAUAAAAGUCUGUCACAGACUGGGAUGCCUCCUCUGUGUAGUGUUGCUUGCAAGCAAAUUGACGAUGACAAGACUGACACUGCUUGACAAGACUUUUAGCUUGUCGCUGAAAGGGCCCUGACGUAAUAACUUUUACUUUGUUUUCCUCACAUCAGUUGCCCAAGGUUAAAUCUCAAUUUGGUAUAUAAUCUGUCUCCCCCCCCCACACACACACACACACACACACACACUUGUAGUUGCUCUCUAUUAUUUUUGGUAUAUUUCAGUGAAUCUCUCCUUUCACACACACACACACACACACACACACACACACACACACUUAUCCACAACAAGUCGCUGUAUGCUGGUGAUUGUUUUUUUUGUGUAUGUUUUAAUUAAAAAGAAUGUUUCUAUUCCGUGCCUCAUUAUCUUGACUCUCAUUUCUGAUUUGCCUCUCUGGACCUCACUAUUUCUGGUCUUAAACAUUUGUAGUUACAGCACCAGAGCAGCCAAUUAGCCUUUAAUGUCAACUAAGUUUGUCAGCCUGAGUGAUAUUUUACUCACUCAAUAUAGCCCACCCCUCCAUCCUCUUCCUCCAGCAUUUCUCUGGUGCAGACUGCUGAGAAUGUUAAAGGACCAUACCCAUAUUAUCAAAUGCUGUAGCUCUUAAGCUACACAUUUCAAGUUAAGCAUCCAUGUGCCAACCUGGUGCAACCUUGAACCGUUCAGAGGUGGAAAGGGGCCCUGGAUGACACCAUUUUUUUCCCCAUUUUUUAUUCAUUUGCCAAGACUUGACACUUUCUUGAAAUUAGCGAUGUGUUGUUUGGCUCCUUUAAGUGAACAAUGGGAACCGGCUC